UUGGUUAGAGCAGCUGACUCUUAAUCAGCGGGUCCGGGGUUCGAGUCCCUGGCGGCGCA
Streptomyces sp. MnatMP-M17 is the source of this 59-nucleotide transfer RNA. It matches the Rfam family "tRNA", at positions 16 to 71 of the family's 71-position model. From Rfam's summary of the family: Transfer RNA (tRNA) molecules are approximately 80 nucleotides in length. Their secondary structure includes four short double-helical elements and three loops (D, anti-codon, and T loops). Further hydrogen bonds mediate the characteristic L-shaped molecular structure. tRNAs have two regions of fundamental functional importance: the anti-codon, which is responsible for specific mRNA codon recognition, and the 3' end, to which the tRNAs corresponding amino acid is attached (by aminoacyl-tRNA synthetases). tRNAs cope with the degeneracy of the genetic code in two manners: having more than one tRNA (with a specific anti-codon) for a particular amino acid; and 'wobble' base-pairing, i.e. permitting non-standard base-pairing at the 3rd anti-codon position. NCBI's taxonomy places the organism in Bacteria, Bacillati, Actinomycetota, Actinomycetes, Kitasatosporales, Streptomycetaceae. The record is from Rfam.